Molecule: long non-coding RNA, 3749 nt
Organism: Pantherophis guttatus
Lineage: Eukaryota; Metazoa; Chordata; Lepidosauria; Squamata; Colubridae
Source: RefSeq, a predicted model, not a curated record
CAGGUAAAGUUAAUAGCAGCAGGAAUCUUUAAUCUGAUGCCUUUUUGCUAUAUGAAUAAGCAGUUCUGCUCCCCACAUUGAACUCACCUGGACUGGAAGAACUCUUAACAAUUUUGGGGGUAAAAACUUGCCUGAGCAAGACUUCCUGGCUUUUAUAUAUCUGUCAUUUCUACUAAAGGAGGCAGAGGGACAAAAUAAUAUCCCCUUUUCUCAUUUCAGUGAUAAUGUGUUAGGGUUCUACAACAAGAUGGUUUGAGAAGGUAAGAGGUAAGUCAUAUUACUUACAACAUACACAACUCAAUCUUUUAAUAGAGAUAAAGCCAGCUAACCAUUUUUCCUUGAUUCUGCCUUUACACCAGCAGUCCCCCAACCUUUCUUACUUCCCUGAUUAAUGAACAUGCUAAAUUGGAAAUCCAUACUGUUUUAAAAGACAAAAUAAUGAGGGAAAUGGACGGUUCAGAAAUGUGAAAUAUAAAUAAAUAAAAUUAAUAAAGAUUAUAAAAUAAAUAAUUAUGUAUUACAUGGCCAAUACAUUAUUAAAAAAUAGUAAGCAAGGCAUAUAAUAACAAGACCUGGCAAUGCCUAAGAGCAGGAAAAUUGAAGAAAGAGACAGAGGGGCUAAUUCUGGCUGCACAAGAUCAAGAUCAAAUGCAUACAAAUUCAGAAUUGAGAAGACAGCAACAGGCAGCAAAGGCCGCCUCUGCCAGGAAGCUGAGUAAACCACCAGAGAAGAAACAGUGAACCACCUAGUUAGCUGCUGCAAGAUUGUGCAGACUGACUACAAACAACGGCACAACAAAGUAGCAAACAAUGGAACAUCUGCAAGAAAUACCAUUAUUAUUGCAAAAGAACUAAUGGAAUCAUAAAGUAGCUAAUAGAAAUGAAGAAGCAAAAGUGCUCUGGAACUUUACAAUUCAAAUAGAUAAGAACCUGCCACAUAACACCCCAGACUUAAGGCUUAUCAAUAAGAAAGACAAAAAGUCUGAAUAGCGGACAUGGCUGUACCUGGAGACAGCAAAAGAAAAGAGAAAGAACUAGAGAAAAUCCAAAAUACAAAGCCUACAAAUAGAAGUGGAAUGAUGUGGCAAAUGAAAGCAAAGAUAAUACCAAUAGUAAUAAGUGCAAUCACAAAGCAUCUGGAGCAUCAACUGAACACCAGCAGCAUUGACAAAAUCACUAUCAGUCAAUUGCAAAAGGCAGCUUUAUUUGGAACAGCAGACAUCCUGUGACAAUAAUCAAACAACAUCUACAUCUCUCAGGUCCUUGAGAAGGACUUGAUAGGUGGAUAAAAAUACCAACUCCAGUCUGAACAUCUGGCUGACUCUGCGACGAACCAUAAUAUAAAAUGAAUAGCAUUUUUAAACAUUUUGGUUUAUUUUAAGAGGAAAAGAAGAACCGAAAGAAGUUGGAAGCAAUAUUAUAGAUAUGGUUAGACUUCAGAGCCAAAAUCCAGGAGGUUCCAGUGGCCAGACGAAGAGUAAGUUUAUUACUGUCCCACUGCAUGGCAUUUUCUGGGUGACUAUUGUAGAAGCCAAAAUUUCAGUCAAGGUCCAAUCCUAGCUACACCAUGCUUCCAGUCUCUUGGAAACAACUGCCUACAACUCCUAUCAUGAGGAAUCCACUUCACUCUCUAAUAGGUGUGACACCGGUUCCUCAGCUCUGACGUAUAACUCUGAUUUAGUUCCUCAUUCUCUUUCACAACUUCUUAUAGCUGUAGCAUGAUGACACUGAGCCCAAACUCUGACUUAUGUUGGCUCCUUUGAACAGAAUUUGUGAGACUAUUUCUAAUUUUGCACUGAAAAUGACUUUCCCUUUCUCAAAGUUCAAAGGCAGAUACUUUUUCUAUCAUCACCGUCCCACUGACAAAGAUAACAAAUUUAACUACCACUGUGAGUAGUGUUACUAUUACUUCAGUGCUACAUAAAGAUAUUGUGUAUUUUUCUGUGGGAUUCCACAGUGAUCUGUGAGCCAUCCAUGGUCAUGUCAUGGUAAAAUAUGUAAAUAGCAUCACGUUUCAGAGUAAGAAUAUUAUUAAAGCUUUUCAGCACUGUAAUUAGAUUCAUGAUAAGCCUUCCCUAAGCCCUUACUAAUUAACUGUAUUGCAACAAGUCAACUUGAACAGAGAACAACUGAGGACCUUUACCCAUCCAACAAAGUUUCCUAUGCAGCCCCAAAUCAUUAUGUGACCAUGGUAAUUUGUAAAAUAAAAACCCUAUCUCUCGAUCCUGAUGUCCUCUUACAUCUUCAAGGAGAGCUCUGGGUGUACAGCAUAUCAAAUGGCUUACUCAACCUAAACUUAUAGGGUCUUGGAUUUCUCUCUGAAGUUAGUACAUUCUAAUCAUUCUAAAUACUUUUAUCUGCUGGUGAAACCAGCUGUACCCAAUCUGGAAUGUCUUUUAGAUCAACUUUUUCCAAUGUGGUAUUCCCCAGAUCUUUUGAACCUCAGCUCCAAGAUUGACCACUUAAAGCUGUGGUGGCAUAUUGGUUAGAAUGCAGUAUUGCAGGCUCUAACUCCACCAACUGCCAGUAAUUUGAUUCUGCCUGGCUCAAGGUUGAUUCAUCCCUCCAUCCUUUCGAGUUACCACACUCAUCCAAGCUCAUCAUGUCAAGGUUAUUCUCUGGAUUUUUGGGCUUUCCUCUUCACGUGAAAUCCCUGAAACUUCCAGUAGAGGCAUCAAAGAACAGGAAAAACUUCCAUUGCUAACACUUCCAUUUAAAACAAAAGAAAAGGAAGACCAUCAGGAGUGGCUAACAGUCCACUGCAAAACUGCUUUUGACCAUCGAUGUUUAUCCUCGUGAAAACUGACCGGGUGGGGGGGAAACAACAACACUGCAGUUGUGUUUGUCAAGGACCUUAAAGCUGAAACAAACCCCCAUUUUUGUGGUAGGCCACGCCGACAGGCCCAAGGCUUCGCGCCCAAACAAUGGCUCUAAAAGAUGCCGACGGAGACGCGUUUCCCACAACUCCCUCUUAAACCCAACUCGCACCCCAGCGCAAGCACUCUCAAAAUUGCAAGCAAGGUUGCUGGCCGCCUCCUGGGGGCAAAAGCUUCUUAAACUCCCGUUAUAUUUGGAGGCUGAAAAUACACCUCAGGCACACAAUCCCAUUUCCUGGGCCGUCUGGAAGCACUCCGUGCUUGCUAGAGGAGCGUGCCUUUCCCAAGGCCUGUCAAAGGGGCCUAACUCAGCUUUCUCCGCAGCAAGCUCCGAGCGAGUGGCUCCCCCCUCCCCGCUUUCUGCCCAGUGGGGCGCCAGGGCCUGGUGUGGAUGACGGGCCGAGGAUGGCAGCUGCUUUCUACCCCCCCCCCCAGCUCCCACAUGAACGACUUUCCAGCUACUUCUCGCCACAACUGGAGGCUAAAAGCCCAACUGGACAUUCAUUACUACAUAGGGUAUCAUUGAUUUGGAAGAGUUCCUCCUUGGCCUGACUUCUCCUUGCGCCUACAUCACAUUCAAGCUAAAUUGAAUUGUAAUUCCACUCAUCUAGAGGGCAGCCAGGAAAGAUGUUAAGGGAAGAUGAUGGGAGUUGCAGUCAGGCAUAUCUGGAAAGAGCCUUACUAGGUAUGGUUGUUGUUGUUUUUUUAAAAAAAUGUUUUAUUUGAUUAUAGAAUAAAAUACAAAAAUACAAAAGCAAAUAGGCAGAUACAGUGGGGAGGAGAAGGGGGAAAAAAAGAAAGGGAGGAAAAAAAAGUGUUGACUUCUGAUUCCCUCUGUUGCAAUAGAAUAAAGCAUUAACAUUGAACCUCAAA